This 492-nucleotide ribosomal RNA is filed under the name uncultured bacterium. RNAcentral describes it as "partial 16S ribosomal RNA". It matches the Rfam family "Bacterial small subunit ribosomal RNA", at positions 29 to 507 of the family's 1533-position model. The record is from RNAcentral.
AGUGAACGCUGGCGGUAGGCCUAACACAUGCAAGUCGAACGGCAGCACAGUAAGAGCUUGCUCUUACGGGUGGCGAGUGGCGGACGGGUGAGGAAUACAUCGGAAUCUACUUUUUCGUGGGGGAUAACGUAGGGAAACUUACGCUAAUACCGCAUACGACCUACGGGUGAAAGCAGGGGAUCUUCGGACCUUGCGCGAUUGAAUGAGCCGAUGUCGGAUUAGCUAGUUGGCGGGGUAAAGGCCCACCAAGGCGACGAUCCGUAGCUGGUCUGAGAGGAUGAUCAGCCACACUGGAACUGAGACACGGUCCAGACUCCUACGGGAGGCAGCAGUGGGGAAUAUUCGACAAUGGGCGCAAGCCUGAUCCAGCCAUACCGCGUGAGUGAAGAAGGCCUUCGGGUUGUAAAGCCCUUUUAUUGGGAAAGAAAAGCAGCAGAUUAAUACCCCGCUGUUCUGACGGUACCCAAAGAAUAAGCACCGGCUAACUUCGUG